RNAcentral lists this ribosomal RNA (484 nucleotides) under uncultured bacterium. Its description in RNAcentral is "partial 16S ribosomal RNA". It matches the Rfam family "Bacterial small subunit ribosomal RNA", at positions 30 to 507 of the family's 1533-position model. The record is from RNAcentral.
AUUGAACGCUGGCGGCAUGCCUAACACAUGCAAGUCGAGCGGAUGAAGGGAGCUUGCUCCUGGAUUCAGCUGCGGACGGGUGAGUAAUGCCUAGGAAGCUGCCUGGUAGUGGGGGAUAACGUCCGGAAACGGGCGCUAAUACCGCAUACGUCCUGAGGGAGAAAGGGGGGGAUCUUCGGACCUCACGCUAUCAGAUGAGCCUAGGUCGGAUUAGCUAGUUGGUGGGGUAAAGGCUUACCAAGGCGACGAUCCGUAACUGGUCUGAGAGGAUGAUCAGUCACACUGGAACUGGGACACGGUCCAGACUCCUACGGGAGGCAGCAGUGGGGAAUAUUGGACAAUGGGCGAAAGCCUGAUCCAGCCAUGCCGCGUGUGUGAAGAAGGUCUUCGGAUCGUAAAGCACUUUUAGUUGGGAGGAAGGGAAGUAAGUUAAUACCUUGCUGUUUUGACGUUACCAACAGAAUAAGCACCGGCUAACUUCGUG